AUGGAGUCCCCCUUCCAUCUUUCCCGUCUUCCAUCAAAGUCUUUGGUAGUUGCACUGAAAUGCAUGGAUAUUAUCGAAAUCACAGCAUUCUCAUUCUGCUCCAGCGCGACGAAAAAGUCUGUAAAAUCCUUGAAUCUGCGCUACACAUACGUAAUGUUCUGAACCAAACUGAAGUCCGUGUUUGGGAUGAUACCAGAAACACUAGUUUCAAUGUAAAAGAAAUUAAAAAUUUGCUUGAUGGAAUUCCAAUUGUUCGAAUGACAUGCCAUCAAUACAGAAAACCGAAUGAUGUGCUCCGAUAUGGGUCGGCUCACACAGAGCAGCUUUGGAUCACUAUGCCUCUCUCAAAUUGGUCUUUCCAUCAAAUUUCAUAUCAACAGUUUCAAAAACUUUAUAUAGGAACUUCGAUUCUUAACCUGAACGAGCUCUUGAACUUGGACAGUCAUAUCAUUUGGCUCGGAUCUUCCAUCUUUGGUGGAAAAGAGUUGAACUUGUUCAUAAAACAUUGGAUGAUGGGUCUUACCAGUCAAAAUGUUAAAUAUAUAUUCACAUUUCUAAGCAACGGAAUCACUGAUGAGAAAGCUCUAUGGAACGGAAUUGAAUAUCAGAAACAGCCAGAGUCCACUAAGAGAACCUUCAAGUACACCGACCCUGGUUAUACAGUUCCGCAGAAAGAGAUAGUUCACGGUGGCUACGAUAUUCAGAGUGUCAAUGGAGCUCGAGCGACAGUGAAAAUUUUCAAAGGGAAUUAUUUAAAUAUCAAAUUUAUGGUUUGGAAUGAUUAA
RNA transcript from Caenorhabditis elegans, 785 nucleotides. It is a transcript of the gene named Non-coding transcript of protein-coding gene F21D9.11b, with no coding region annotated. The transcript has 3 exons. The record is from RefSeq and is marked reviewed. Lineage: Eukaryota; Metazoa; Nematoda; Chromadorea; Rhabditida; Rhabditidae.